GAGGAAUAUUGGUCAAUGGGUGCAAGCCUGAACCAGCCAUCCCGCGUGAAGGACGACUGCCCUAUGGGUUGUAAACUUCUUUUGUAUAGGGAUAAACCUACCCUCGUGAGGGUAGCUGAAGGUACUAUUCGAAUAAGCACCGGCUAACUCCGUGCCAGCAGCCGCGGUAAUACGGAGGGUGCAAGCGUUAUCCGGAUUUAUUGGGUUUAAAGGGUCCGUAGGCGGACUUAUAAGUCAGUGGUGAAAGCCUGUCGCUUAACGAUAGAACUGCCAUUGAUACUGUAAGUCUUGAGUAUAGUUGAGGUAGCUGGAAUAAGUAGUGUAGCGGUGAAAUGCAUAGAUAUUACUUAGAACACCAAUUGCGAAUGCAGGUUACCAAGAUAUAACUGACGCUGAGGGACGAAAGCGUGGGGAGCGAA
This 419-nucleotide ribosomal RNA is filed under the name uncultured bacterium. RNAcentral describes it as "bacterial SSU rRNA". It matches the Rfam family "Bacterial small subunit ribosomal RNA", at positions 356 to 772 of the family's 1533-position model. The record is from RNAcentral.